GCCGCCACUUCAAUAAGAUUAUCUUGUUAGAUGAUAACGAUCUUCUUUUCUCAAAUACUCUCUCUCUUUCUUUUAUCUUUCGAACAAACUCUCUCUCUCUCUCUCUCUUUCUUUCUCUUACUUUUCUUACUUUUAUUUAAAUUGUUUUUUUUUUUUUUCUUUUAGAUUUUUUCGUUGAGAUUAUAUUCCCCCGUUUAUCUCUCUCGAUAAAAAAAUCUUGAUUAAAUAAUAAUAAUAAUAAUAAUAAUAAUAAUAAUAAUAAUAAUAAUAACAAAACAAGAAAAAAAAAACAAAUAACAAAGUAGGUCCGAUGUUUGACGAUCUAUCACGAUCUUUCACGAUGUAUCUUGAUCGAUCGAUAGGCACAGUAUUAUCGAUGAUACGGAUCUAUGCACGGAUACAAACUUAUGCGAGUGGACAUUUCGCGAUAUUUCAAAAUUGAACGUGUCGAAUCGCAUCGCAGUCGCCGACUGACUGACUGACUGACCGAGUCAAUGGAAAAAAGACCUGGCAGCUGCGGCUGCGGUGGUGAAGUGGUAGUAGUAGUGGUGGUGGUGGUGGUGGUGGUGAUGGUGAUGGUGGUGGUUAUGGUGGAGCGGCGAUUCCAUCUUCUCCUCUUCUCUUCCCUUCUCACCAUUGGACCCGUAAGAGAUCCCUAUCUCUUUACGAACUACUCUCUCUUUCUCUUUCUCUUUUUAGUUUUCUUUUUCUAUCUCUUAACUCUUGGUCUCUCAUGUAGCCUUCCUCUUCUUCUUCUUCUUCUUCUUCUUCUUCUUCUUCUUCUUCUUCACAUACGCAACGCAUGCAGAAUUAGGGAGCACGCACACUGAUCUUUUUCUUUUGCAAAUAUAAACUUAGGAAGAAUCGUUUCUCUCUUAGUCUCCUCUUAGUUUACACUUAGAGAUGAGAUAUGUUCUAAAGAGACAAGUCCAAUUUGCAUCUUACAAUUAGAGGUCGUCUGUAGACGACGACGACGAAGAAGAAGACGAGGCAGACACGAACUUAAAGGGUCGACGUACGAAUCCUUCCUUGUGUAUAUGUAAUAUACGCAUGUGUACGUACGUUGUUAUGUGCAUUUGCACAUGGUGAUGGUGUGUGUGUGUGUGUAUGUGUAGAGAGAAUGAUGGCGUGGCAAAUUAACGCCGAAAUUAUAUUUAAUAUAAGUGAGCUUGCCGAAAAUUCUCACGUCUUUUUCUCUUUAAUAGUUGUUCAUUGUUAAUCUUUCAUCUAUUUAAUUCUUUUACAAAUAUUUAAAAUAACGAUGACGAUAGUUAUAUUGAUUUAACAUUUAAGAAAUAUAAAUAUAGUUAAAUUGUGUUAUGUUGAAGUCUUAAAUGAUUAGCCAUCAAGAAGACGAGAUAAUUUUGAUUGGAUACCACAACUUACACAUAUGCAAUAAGACCUAGAAGGAAUAUAGCAGAUGUACCUUUUAUGAUGUAUUAUAUUUUACGAGCAUUAUUCGACGAUGGUUAAUCCUUUCGUUUCCGAAAGAUCACUUGAGAAUACAUGGAAAUUCAGAAUUUGAAAUAACAAAUAAAAUGAAAAGAAAUCGAUUCACUAAAGGAUUUUUCUUGCAUUACUUAAAUCUCCAAAUGAUUAUCUUCAAGCAAUUUAAAUUUAAUGAAUGGAUCCUAUAAUUAUCAUAAAAUUUAAUUGCAUUAAAUAUAUGACGAGUGUAUUUACGUAUAUCUUUCUCCAUUAAAAGUAAUAAAUCUAUUACUCGUGCGAGAAGAACGUAACAGACACACACACACACAUACACACAACCUCAGAAGAGAAAUUAUUUUCAACGGUGCACUUUGUCCUGUCUGUCUCUUCAAAGAGAGAUUUCUCUUCUUCUUCUUCUUCUUCUUCUUCUUCUUGUUCACGUCCUCUUCCUUGUCCGGUACAACUAACUGAACGUUUCCACGGUCGUUUCACGAGCCGUUAUAAAGGCUGGCUUGUUAGACGAGAUGCUCUUCCACGUAGUAGGAGACAUGCACCGAUUUUACACUCCGUCGGUGUUGCGUGGUCUCGCAAAACCGCGAACAUUUUUCGCGCCUUGAUGGAAAAUACAAGAAGAUGAAGAAUGAAGGAUGAAGAUGAUGAUGAUGAAGAAGAAGAAGAAGAAGAAGAAGAGAAAGAUACUACGAGAAACACUUUUGUUCAAAUACAAACGAAGGAUGAUAAAAUGAUAUUUCAUCAUUUUUCUAAUAUUUGUCAUUUUAAUUUUCAUAGUAAUAGAAUUCAAUGAAUACAAUAUUCGUCAUUGUAAUCAAAAUUAAAAGUUAUUCAUUAAUCAUAAUGCAUGGUCAACAACCAUGACGACGACGACGACGACGACAACGACAACAGGUAUUGGCAAUGAUCUAGCGAAAUAAUCGUUGUGUAUUAUCCUUGUUAUCGAACAAUCUCAAUCUAUCUUUAUGAAACCCUCAUCUCUCUCUCUCUCUCUCUCUCUCUCUCUCUUCUAGUCUACCCAAAAAAAAGAACAUGAGAACAACCUACUUCGUCUUCAGUGAGAUGAUAGAUCCUUUAAAGUUAAUUCGAAGGUAAUCUUACAGAUGGAUGCCUUCGAUCGCGACUACAAUGUUCUUGAUUCCAAUAUACCGGUAUAGGUGCGUGCGUGAAGAAGAAGUUGAGAAUCGUGUGCAAAGAAAAGAGAAGAAGUCACGAAUUGCUUUGUUGCCAAGUCCUCGUCUCCGAUGGAUUCUACUACAGAAAUACAAUCAACAAAAAUAUGAACGUUCUUUCUUUUUUUUUCAUUGAAAAACUUGAUCGUAAAUCUCAUCGUUAUGGUACUUACAAGUAAUACAAAUGAAAUAUAUUUUGUAAAUAAGAAAAAUUGAAGUAAAAAGAAAAAAAAACACAAGGAAAACUAUGUUGUAGAAUAUCAGGAACAUCAGGCAGAGAGAUGAUAUGCAUCGUGUUAUAAGCGAGGAAAAGAUUUAUUAUCGAAUAUAUUUCGAUUUAUUUGAAUUUUGGAUAGACAGGUCAGAAGGUUUUGAAGAUAAAAUAGACAUCAUUCCUUGUUAGAAGUAAAUCUCCACGUCUCAGUCAGAUUUGUAGCGAAUUGGGUAGGCGUGGAGUGAAAUUUUGAUGAAAGGAGGAACAAUUUUGAAAGAAUCAUCAUCGCUGCUUGCUGCUGCUGCUGCUGCUGCUGCUGCCUUAUGCCCCUUUCAAGAAACGAGAAGGUGUUUUUUUUUUUUUUAUGUCCUUUGUAUUUCUUCGAGAUGCUCGUUAAAAUUAGGAGCCGUGAAAAAUUAUUUACUCAAAUUGAAAUUUUACGUUUAUUUACGAUCUGUAAACAUCGUAAUAAGAAGAAGAAGAAGAAGAAGAAGAAAAAAGAACGAAAAAGAUAUAUAUAAUGUCGAUAUUAACAACGUAUUAUAGUAACAUUUGUACACAUCGUCAUCUUUUGCUGAGAAAAGAAGAGAAUAAAGGUGAAGAAGAAGAUGAAAAGGGAUAGGGAAAGAAGAAGAUCCUUCUGAUGGAUCAUGUCAAAAGCCCCAGGGAUUGUCAGAUUUAUUCAAUAGAUCAA
This is a long non-coding RNA of Polistes dominula (European paper wasp), 3520 nucleotides long. The record is from RefSeq and is a predicted model, not a curated record. Lineage: Eukaryota; Metazoa; Arthropoda; Insecta; Hymenoptera; Vespidae.